GUGGCGGUACCUCAGUGGUUAGAGGGCCAGCGUGUACCUGGUAGUCGGAGGUUCGAUUCCUCCCCGCUGCA
RNAcentral lists this transfer RNA (71 nucleotides) under Planctomycetota bacterium. Its description in RNAcentral is "tRNA-OTHER". It matches the Rfam family "tRNA". Rfam says of the family: Transfer RNA (tRNA) molecules are approximately 80 nucleotides in length. The record is from RNAcentral. Lineage: Bacteria; Pseudomonadati; Planctomycetota.